RNAcentral lists this ribosomal RNA (467 nucleotides) under uncultured bacterium. Its description in RNAcentral is "bacterial SSU rRNA". It matches the Rfam family "Bacterial small subunit ribosomal RNA", at positions 355 to 825 of the family's 1533-position model. The record is from RNAcentral.
UGGGGAAUCUUGGACAAUGGGGGAAACCCUGAUCCAGCAACGCCGCGUGAGUGAUGAAGGCCUUCGGGUCGUAAAGCUCUGUUGGGAGGGAAGAAUGGGCCGCGUAACAAACGGCUUUGACGUUACCUCCUGAGGAAGCACCGGCUAACUCUGUGCCAGCAGCCGCGGUAAUACAGAGGUGGCAAGCGUUGUUCGGAAUUACUGGGCGUAAAGGGCGCGUAGGCGGCCCUCUAAGUCAGACGUGAAAUCCCCCGGCUUAACCUGGGAACUGCGUCUGAUACUGGAGGGCUUGAGUAUGGGAGAGGGAUGUAGAAUUCCAGGUGUAGCGGUGAAAUGCGUAGAUAUCUGGAGGAAUACCGGUGGCGAAGGCGGCAUCCUGGACCAUUACUGACGCUGAGGCGCGAAAGCUAGGGGAGCAAACGGGAUUAGAUACCCGGGUAGUCCCUGAGCGGGCUGGCAAGGCGCAU